Molecule: long non-coding RNA, 779 nt
Filed under: Musa acuminata (dwarf banana)
Lineage: Eukaryota; Viridiplantae; Streptophyta; Magnoliopsida; Zingiberales; Musaceae
Description: long non-coding RNA (MACU_LNC002418)
Source: RNAcentral
CAUAAAUAUCCCUUUGAAAUAAAUGUAAUUCCGCAGUUCUCAUCUCCUAAUAAAUCAGGAACGAAACUAGUGCAAGAUUUUUGUCUUCAAAGCCUCUCUAACAAAGCCUCGGCUGAAUCCUGCGCCAGCACUCGACGACGCGGCAGCCCACACGACGUUCGCUGCCUUCCGCCAACUCUCAGCCAAAGCAGACGUCAACCUUUCCGUUCCCGCGGCCGCCGUUACUGGUAUCUCGAACUCUCGGCGUGAAACCUUGCGCCUUGACGAAGCACGCGACGGCGAGCACCACACAAGGGAAUGCAAGCACCGCAACAGGCUUCUUCGUGGCGGCGUCGUGCGUGAGGGGGAUGACGUGAAGGGAGCCACCCACGCCCAGGCACAGCCUGGUCACGAAGCAAUCCAACGCCACGGCGACCAUCAGUAGCGCCGUCGCCACGGCCACCGCGUUGGCUGCUGUCUCCCAACAGCCUCCACAGGGGCCGCCAUCCACCAUCUUCUUCUUCAUCUUUGCUUCGAUCUCUAUGAUGUUCUAAUAACGAAAAGGAAACUAUAUGUAGAUAAAGAAUAGUAGUGUAUAUAAGAAUUAUUUCUCCUUUAAGUUUUUACUAAAAAAAACACAUACAAACAAAGAUCAACUUCUGACGGCAAAUUAAGGCAUCUUCUGUUUUCGUUUGUACGCAAGUAUAACAGUUCGUCGUUGAGAAGGUCACGUUUUGUUUGGAGGGGCGAGCAUCGAAGGAUGGAUGGCAACAGCAAUGAAAUGGAACGAUAUGGGCGUG